RNAcentral lists this transfer RNA (23 nucleotides) under Craugastor lineatus (montane robber frog). RNAcentral describes it as "partial tRNA-Phe". Lineage: Eukaryota; Metazoa; Chordata; Amphibia; Anura; Craugastoridae. The record is from RNAcentral.
UGGGCCCUAAAAAGCCCUAAGAA